Long non-coding RNA from Vicia villosa (hairy vetch), 962 nucleotides. RefSeq lists it as uncharacterized. Lineage: Eukaryota; Viridiplantae; Streptophyta; Magnoliopsida; Fabales; Fabaceae. The record is from RefSeq and is a predicted model, not a curated record. The transcript is spliced from 5 exons.
UUCAUCUCAAAGCCUAACCAGUGGCGGAGCCAAGCCCCGGCCAGGCUGGGCAACUGCCCAGGCUCUUCCUCGUAUCCUCACUUUCAUCACACCAUAUACAACCCAACAUAAUCUCAUGUCGCAUCACCGCUUCCUCCAUGUCUCAGCCACUCAUGACGUCGGUCAGUCCCUCCACGAGUCGACACCGAAAUCUGCACAUCACCGCCACUGGUUUGUGGUUUAUCUGUCGAAUUGUUAAUGUCGUUUCCACCAUUUUGCAACUUGCACACUAAGUGUUCGCUGUUCCAAAGAAGGGCUCUGUAUUUGCAUUCCGAUUUGGUUGGUGAAAAGUCACUCUGCAUGGAGAUAAACUCAAUUCAAGAAAGGUUGGGUUAUGAUUAUAGUGGUUCUAACCACUACAAUUGAUAAACUUGUGAUUACGGUAAUUUAGAAAAGUAGACCAAGAUCAACUUUUUAACUCAAGGUGAUUCACAUUAAGGAGAGGUUAGCCGAGUUGGUCUUGAGUCGUUGUCGCUCUGAUACGUAGCACUCGGGGGGACGAACGAGUUGAUUUACUUGCUUUUGGAUUAUUAUGUUUUGGCAAAUACUUGAGUUGUUUAUUUGAGAUUGUCACUUUAAAGUGUGUUAAUUGUUGAAUUAAGAUGCUAUGAAUCCUUGAACUAAUUGUUGAGUUUCCGUUGCACUUCUAUGGAAGUUGAUUUAUGUUAAAGACUAUCAUUUGAUGUUUCGGUUCUCCCGUAUUUUGUGAAUGCUAUGUAUCUGCUUUAUGCGACGAGGUGAUUUGCUUUUGAAAAUGAAUAUGUGAUACCUCAAUUAUUUGUUUGUGAAUUUUUAUACUCUAAUUUUAUUUAAAUUCUAUGGGUAGAAUUGGGGUGUUACAGAUGUGCUUACCAAUCCACUGCCUGCUCCCUCCUUCACUUCAUUGGUUUCCAAACUUGGCCUAUUAGAUAUCCAUAGUCCAG